Molecule: ribosomal RNA, 272 nt
Filed under: uncultured prokaryote
Description: partial 16S ribosomal RNA
Rfam family: Bacterial small subunit ribosomal RNA
Source: RNAcentral
UACGUAGGUGGCAAGCGUUGUCCGGAAUUAUUGGGCGUAAAGCGCGCGCAGGCGGUCUUUUAAGUCUGAUGUGAAAGCCCCCGGCUCAACCGGGGAGGGUCAUUGGAAACUGGGAGACUUGAGUACAGAAGAGGAGAGUGGAAUUCCACGUGUAGCGGUGAAAUGCGUAGAUAUGUGGAGGAACACCAGUGGCGAAGGCGACUCUCUGGUCUGUAACUGACGCUGAGGCGCGAAAGCGUGGGGAGCAAACAGGAUUAGAUACCCCGUAGUCC